RNAcentral lists this ribosomal RNA (500 nucleotides) under uncultured bacterium. RNAcentral's name for it is "partial 16S ribosomal RNA". It matches the Rfam family "Bacterial small subunit ribosomal RNA", at positions 29 to 523 of the family's 1533-position model. The record is from RNAcentral.
AACGAACGCUGGCGGCAGGCCUAACACAUGCAAGUCGAGCGGAUGAGGGGAGCUUGCUUCCUGAUUCAGCGGCGGACGGGUGAGUAAUGCCUAGGAAUCUGCCUGGUAGUGGGGGACAACGUUUCGAAAGGAACGCUAAUACCGCAUACGUCCUACGGGAGAAAGUGGGGGAUCUUCGGGCCUCACGCUAAUAGAUGAGCCUAGGUCGGAUUAGCUAGUUGGUGGGGUAACGGCUCACCAAGGCGACGAUCCGUAGCUGGUCUGAGAGGAUGAUCAGCCACACUGGAACUGAGACACGGUCCAGACUCCUACGGGAGGCAGCAGUGGGGAAUAUUGGACAAUGGGCGAAAGCCUGAUCCAGCCAUGCCGCGUGUGUGAAGAAGGUCUUCGGAUUGUAAAGCACUUUAAGUUGGGAGGAAGGGUUGUAAGCUAAUAUCUUGCAGCUUUGACGUUACCAACAGAAUAAGCACCGGCUAACUCUGUGCCAGCCGCCGCCGUAA